Mesocricetus auratus (golden hamster) is the source of this 1883-nucleotide long non-coding RNA. RefSeq lists it as uncharacterized. The transcript is spliced from 3 exons. The record is from RefSeq and is a predicted model, not a curated record. Lineage: Eukaryota; Metazoa; Chordata; Mammalia; Rodentia; Cricetidae.
GACAGCUAAACCUGGAAGGCAGUAAUGAAAACUGUUACCCUUGGCUUAGAGGAGGGGGUGGGCAAUGAAGGGGUUAAGAAACUGUAGGCCGAGAGUCCCUUCUGUCUUUUAUGUGAUGAAACUGUAAUUUUGGUUUGAAAUCACAGGAUCAUCAAGGCUUUGGAGUGUUGGGGGAAUGCUGAUGGGGCUCAGGGGCAAAGAAGUCCCUCGAUUUGAAAUCAGUUCUCUCUUUGAACUGUUUCCCUGUGUUUCUGAUUGUUGGGGCUUGAGGGGACCACCUAAUAAGUUGCAUCUCUCUUUCCCACUAGAGUUCUAAACUCUGCUUGAGAAGUGAACAUGGGCCAUGGAGACCAGACACACCGUGGCCUUUGAAGCCUGGAUAAAGUGAUCCUGGGAAUCUUGACCACUCACUAUUGGUGGCUGCUGGAUUUCUUGCAAAUGAGAAAACGGAGACAGAGAGGUUGUAUUCCUCGUCCAAAAAGACAUGGUAGAAAGCAGAGCUGCUGUGCAGACUCAGUGUACUGAUCCAUCCUGAGGCCUGAAUUCCACAACAGACUGCUGAAUGUGUGAGGUCCUCCUCCGGGGAAACCAGAUCCAAAGUCAACUUCCAUGUCACACCCGUCAAAGGAUUUGCCCCAGCAGUGCCCCAGCCCACGCCUAGGCUCUUAACACCUCACGAUGAGGUUUUCUUUCUCGCACACACUGAGGAAAUCAGGGGAGGCUGUUGAAGCACCCACCGGACGCAAUGCGGCGAUGGUCUGCGUGACCUGCUGAGGUUUCCUGGAGCUGUGGCAGUUGAGAGGUGUGCGCUGUGCCGCUGUCUUCUGAUAGGACCAAGAUGGAAAGAAGGCCAAAGAGGGCUGGCUGAGUGAAGCAGGAUGGACACCUGGACUGCGUGCAGUUGGGCUCAGUGCCAGAGAAGACACAGUAGCUGAGCGGUCAAGGGGACUUUCCCAUUUCACAUCCCACACGCAGUGGACCGGGUGUGCUGCGGGUUGGCGUGUGACCAGUGCAUCUUGACCUGACAGCCCUGCUUCCCUGAUGUGCAGCAGGAAGAUGUGGGGUCUGUAUAACAGGGACGUGAGGACAGAAUGACACAUUCUGCCCUUCCUGACAGGGUAGGGAUGGAUAUAUGUACUUGCAUAUACAUAUGCAUCCCCAAGUACAAUCUGGUGGGUCCGGAUAGUGUGUGAUGUGUACCUGUGUGCGUGUUUUCAGGGCUGACCACUUGACACUGGACAGCGCUUGGCAUGCUCUUCCUUGGUGAGGGUUGCCUCUUUCACUCCCGGCUUUUCCCCGGUUGCCUGCAGUUCUUUGGGUGGAGGCUUCAAGGGCUUUUCCCCAUCCAGUUUGGAAUGCUUGUUGCUGUCCUCCUUGACUUCUGGGUUGGACUGAAGUCUUAUGUGUAAACCUUUAGGAGCUAGAAAAGGUAAAUGACAGCCUUCUUGCUACUGGUGCACUCAGACUCACCAUUUCCUUCUUAAACUGAUACCCUCCUGUGUCCACACUUGGACUUGAAAUCUUCGUUUCCCCCUUCUUCCCCUAGUCCUUUACUCAGAAGCCCAGCUGAUGGUUAGUUUGAAUUGUCAACUUGACAGAAUCUAGACUCACCUGGGAGAAGAGGCUCUGAGAAUGUCUGUGGCCAUUGCCUCAAUUAUCUUCACUGUUGAUGGAGGACCUGCCCACGUUGGGUGGGACUAUUCCCUUGGCUCACAGGAGUACUGGACUGUAUACAGAUGGAAAAGCCAACUUGUCAAUAGCAUGCACGUACUGAUUUAUUGCUGUUUGGUCUUGACUAUGGCUAUGAUGUAACCAGUUGCUUCAAGGUCCUGCUGCCUUGACUUCCAUAAAGUUGUGAGUCAAAUAAACCCUUUCUCCCGUAA